Molecule: ribosomal RNA, 500 nt
Filed under: uncultured bacterium
Lineage: Bacteria
Description: partial 16S ribosomal RNA
Rfam family: Bacterial small subunit ribosomal RNA
Source: RNAcentral
AUUGAACGCUGGCGGCAUGCCUUACACAUGCAAGUCGAACGGCAGCACGAGAGCAAUCCUGGUGGCGAGUGGCGAACGGGUGAGUAAUGUAUCGGAACGUGCCCAGUCGUGGGGGAUAACGUAGCGAAAGCUACGCUAAUACCGCAUACGAUCUAUGGAUGAAAGCGGGGGAUCGCAAGACCUCGCGCGAUUGGAGCGGCCGAUAUCAGAUUAGGUAGUUGGUGGGGUAAAGGCUCACCAAGCCGACGAUCUGUAGCUGGUCUGAGAGGACGACCAGCCACACUGGGACUGAGACACGGCCCAGACUCCUACGGGAGGCAGCAGUGGGGAAUUUUGGACAAUGGGCGCAAGCCUGAUCCAGCAAUGCCGCGUGCAGGAUGAAGGCCUUCGGGUUGUAAACUGCUUUUGUACGGAACGAAACGGUGAGCUCUAAUACAGUUUGCUAAUGACGGUACCGUAAGAAUAAGCACCGGCUAACUACGUGCCAGCCGCCGCAGUAA